CGCCGCCCCUUCCCCGGGCCCGGAGGGGAGUCGAGCUGGCGGGGGGGUGUGUGUGGGUGUGUGUGUGAGGCCUCCUUGAGGGACAGAGCGAUGCGACACUAAACUGACCUCUCUUCUAGGGCCAGGUCCCCCUUCCAAAAUGCCUUUGCUUGAAAAGCAAGAAAAUGGUGAGCAGGUGUUGAUGAAAAAUGAAAGCUAUUUGCAAAUCUUGAAAAAUAAGGAUCAGAGAAAGAGACUUGUCCAUGAAAUCUGUUCCUUUUUAGACAGCAGUCAGUCUGUCCAAGAAAUUGAUGCUUUGAGGACAGAAAAUAGGAAGCUAAAAAAUGCGAACUCAAGACUGCGAUAUAAAACAAAAGAUUGGGCAUUAAGGAAAGAAGAGUAUAAAAAUGAGAUUGAGAGACUUUCUGGCGAGAUAUCCAGCUACUUAAAUGUCACCAAUUUCUGGUAUGAAGAGUCAGAGCUUCUGAAUGGCCCAGCAGAUAAGAGGAUACCAAGGGAACAGACCAAACAUGCGAGCACUCAGACAGAGGGCGCCUACAGAGCGGAAGAAAGGACUGUUGCAACUCAGACAGGUGAAGAAAGCUCAAGGAUGACUUUGGAUGGUGGAAGAGCAGUUUAAUGUCAACGUGACUUGUUGCUGGACAACAUAAUGUUUGACAUUGUUUCAAAUUUCAGUCUUACUUAAGAAUAUAUUCAAAUAUAUAUAUUUAUAUAAAUAAAAAUCUAUUUAAUCUUACUAAUAAUUAUUCU
RNAcentral lists this long non-coding RNA (750 nucleotides) under Apteryx owenii (little spotted kiwi). RNAcentral's name for it is "lncRNA (ENSAOWG00000009654.1)". The record is from RNAcentral. Lineage: Eukaryota; Metazoa; Chordata; Aves; Apterygiformes; Apterygidae.